This 501-nucleotide ribosomal RNA is filed under the name uncultured bacterium. RNAcentral describes it as "bacterial SSU rRNA". It matches the Rfam family "Bacterial small subunit ribosomal RNA", at positions 29 to 509 of the family's 1533-position model. The record is from RNAcentral.
AACGAACGUUGGCGGCGUGGAUGAGGCAUGCAAGUCGAACGUGAAAGCCGCAAGGUGAGUAGCGUGGCGGACGGGCGAGUAACACGUAAUCAAGCUGCCUGCGAGACGGGGAUAACCUCGGGAAACCGAGGCUAAGACCCGAUGGUCUGCCGAGACCGCAUGGUUUUGGUAGUAAAUGGGCGGGAUCCUCCGGGAUCGCCUGCUCGCAGAGGUGAUUGCGGCCCAUCAGCUAGUUGGUAGGGUAACGGCCUACCAAGGCAACGACGGGUAGCCGGCCUAAGAGGGUGGUCGGCCGCACUGGGACUGAGACACUGCCCAGACUCCUACGGGAGGCUGCAGUCGAGAAUCUUCCGCAAUGGGCGAAAGCCUGACGGAGCGACGCCGCGUGGAGGACGAAGGCCUUCGGUUGUAAACUCCUGUCACGAGUUAAGAAGGACGCAUGUGCGAACAGCAUAGGCGUUUGACGUAAGCUCGAGAGGAAGCACUGGCUAACUCUGUGCC